This 86-nucleotide transfer RNA is filed under the name Enterobacter hormaechei. RNAcentral's name for it is "tRNA-???(cagg)". It matches the Rfam family "tRNA". Rfam says of the family: Transfer RNA (tRNA) molecules are approximately 80 nucleotides in length. The record is from RNAcentral. Lineage: Bacteria; Pseudomonadati; Pseudomonadota; Gammaproteobacteria; Enterobacterales; Enterobacteriaceae.
GCGAAGGUGGCGGAAUUGGUAGACGCGCUAGCUCAGGUGUUAGUGUCCUUACGGACGUGGGGGUUCAAGUCCCCCCCCUCGCACCA